UUUUAAAGUACUUAUAACCCACAUGUCAGCUGGGGUCAUCUUAUUUUUGGAGAUUCAAAUGGAAUGGGCUUGAACUUGGUCCCACAUGCCAUGGGAGACCCAACUUUCCUUGGAACCUUUCCAGGGAAUGGGGGUGAAGGGCGUUUGUGUCUCUCCUAGUCACCCAAGGUUCUGAAUUCCUGCAUCCAAUGAAUCCGUUCUGCUUAGGUGCCCUUUUUUGAUUUAUAAUGUUGUGCCAGUUUCUGCUGUACAGCAAAGCGACCCAUUCAUUUGUUUACACACACACACACACACACACACACACACACAUUCCCUUUCUUACAUUAUCUUCCAUCAUGGGCUAACCCAGGAGAUUGGCUAUAGUUCCCUGUGCUAUAUAGUAGGGCCGCACUGCUUAAUCCAGUCUAAAUGUCAUAGUUUGCAUCUACUAACUCCCAAUUCCCAGUCUGUCCUACUCCCUACCACCCACCACUGCAACCGCAAGUCUGUUCUUGACGUCUGUGAGUCUGUUUCCGUUUUGUAGAUAGGUUCGUUUGUGCCAUAUUUUAUAUUUCACAUAUUACUGAUAUCAUGUGGUAUUUGUCUUUCUCUUUAUGAUCUGCUUCACUUAGUAUGAGACUCUCUAGUUGCAUUCACGUUGCUAUAAAUGGCAUUAUUUCACUCUUUUUAUGGCUGAGUAGUAUUCCAUUAUAUACGUGUACCACAUCUUAAUCCAUUCAUCUGUUGAUGGACAUGUAGGGGUUUCCAAGUCUUAGCUCUUGUCAAUAGUGCUGCUAUGAACACACAGGUGCAAUGUAUCUUUUUGAAUGAAAGUCUGUCCAGAUUUAUGCCCAGGAGUAGGAUUGCUGGAUCAUGUGGUAGUUCUAUAUUUACUUUUCUGAGGAACCUCCAUACUGUCUUCCAUGGUGGUUGUACUUAGUCAUUGUUGAACAAAGGGCUGCACAUUUUCAUUCUGCAAAUCAGGUAGCUAGACCUGCUUGAUUCAGGAGCUUUCCUUUCCCACCCCACGCUGACCCACUCGAGACUCUGCCCCAAUUCCUCCACUGUCCCUAAAGCCCAUCCAUGGAGUUCAUGUGCGUAUAGACUUGGACUGAAGCUUUCGGAUGAAGGAAAAUUUUGGCCUUCGAGCUAAGUUAACAGCAUCAAGUCCAGUGUAUGAACUGGCUCAAAGCUACUCAGUGGGAAACAAUGAAGGAGGAGGGAAGGCCGAUGAAACAAGAGAGGCCAAAGGUGGACCCGUGAAUAUACUCAAAGACACAGAGCUGGGCACUUGAGAUGGGUGAAUGAGAUGGUAAGUGAAUUAUAUCUCAAUAAAACUGUUGGGGGAAAAAAAAAGUCAUGCCUUCCCCACUCCUCCCCUCAUCCUGCCAGGAAUCCUUAGGCUCCAGACUCCUGCCUUUGGGGAAAUCUGUCUUCCACCCUCUCUCUGCAUGUGUGCACACACGCACGUGCACACAUACACACAACUUCCAUCUCUCCUUCCCAUUACCUUCUUCUGCCUUAAGACACUUUUUUUUUCUUCUUAGGGCCGCAUCUGCGGCCUAUGGAAGCUCCCAGGCUAGGGGUCAAAUGGGAGCUGGAGCUGCCAGUCUGUGCCACAGUCACAGCAAUGCCAGAUCCAAGCGACCUACACGGCAGUUCAUGGCCAUGCCUGAUCCUUAACCCCCUGAGCUGGGCCAGGGAUUGAACCCUCAUCCUCACAGACACUAUGUUGGGUUCUUAACCCGCUGAGCCACAACGGGAACUCUGGGACAUUUUUCAUUCUAUUUCCAUUCUCACCAAUAUCAGGGGAGGGCCUUCUCCCACAGUCAGGGUGCCCCACGGAGGUAUUUUCUUACAACACUUUCCUCUUUAAAGGCUACUCAGUUGACAGGUAUUAAAAUUACAAUUUUUGAAGUCCCCU
RNAcentral lists this long non-coding RNA (1903 nucleotides) under Sus scrofa (pig). RNAcentral's name for it is "lncRNA (ENSSSCG00000043695.1, ENSSSCG00155041788.1)". The record is from RNAcentral. Lineage: Eukaryota; Metazoa; Chordata; Mammalia; Artiodactyla; Suidae.